CUGCGAUGGCGUCCGACAAGGAUGCAGACGCGGACUCUUCUCUGGUCUCUGCGACUGCAAUAACAUCUCCUCCUCCUGGGUCGUUCGUUUAAGACAGAGCUUCUGCUUCUACUAAAAUCAUGUUUAUUGCAGGGAUCCAUUUCCUUGUUGCUAUAAUGCUAUAUUAGUAAUUAAUUAUCAAGAAGAAUUAAUGAAGCAAAAAUAAAAGAACAAUUACGGAUUUUGUGUAACCCACUUCCUGAUUCGAUCCGGACUCAAUUUUCGAAAUUCAGUCCAACUCAGUUCAUAAAAUCUUAUCAUUUUGCAAUCGCUAACAGUUGUUUAUGUUAUCGUUUGUGUUUUGUGUAUACAUGAUAUGGUUUACUUGGAUUAUCCAAAUCUCA
Molecule: long non-coding RNA, 383 nt
Filed under: Linum usitatissimum (flax)
Lineage: Eukaryota; Viridiplantae; Streptophyta; Magnoliopsida; Malpighiales; Linaceae
Description: long non-coding RNA (LUSI_LNC001654)
Source: RNAcentral